Molecule: unclassified non-coding RNA, 832 nt
Filed under: Hevea brasiliensis (rubber tree)
Lineage: Eukaryota; Viridiplantae; Streptophyta; Magnoliopsida; Malpighiales; Euphorbiaceae
Source: RNAcentral
CGGAUUGUAGUAGUACAAACGGAUAAACCUCAGACCUUUACCAGGGUUUUGAGCAACCUCAAUCUUACCUUCCUCUUUGGCUCUGCCCAAUACAAUUCCAUAUUUAUCAGGUGAACAAACAAGGAAAUUUUAUAUGGCUGCAACAGGCAUGAUCACAGCCCCAAUUUUUGGCUUCUUCUCUGUGAACAGAAGCAACAGAGCUUGUAGAAAGUUCAGCAGCAUAAAUGGGCAAUGUAAUGUUGUAAAGGGGAUGCAGGUAGAAAAGUCUCUCGAGGAAUUGUACAAUGUGAAGGUGGAAAGAAAAGUGUCACCAAAACGAUUGGCAGAGCUUGGAGUCUCUAGAUGGUCAGUUUGGAAGACUGGCAAGUGCAAGUUGCCUUGGGACUGGCAAGUGGACCAGUUAGUUUACAUUGAAGAAGGAGAGGUGAGAGUAGUUCCUGAAGGGAGCGAACGUUACAUGCGGUUUGUGGCUGGCGACUUAGUUCGUUACCCCAAGUGGUUUGAGGCUGAUCUCUUCUUCAAUGCUCCAUACCAGGAGCGUUAUAGUUUCCGAGCAUAUGGUGAUGACUAUUAAUCCCUACAUUGCAUUAGUGAUUGCGUCUCUUUGUCCUGUGUGUCAGCUUUGUUCAAGGGCAUAUGUCCUGUAAUUUUAGUAGUUUAACUCGGAAUUGCAAGCUGAACUGCUACAUUCUGCAAAUAAUUUUGAGUUGCAGUUUCUGUAAAUACCAAGCAGUUUAUUAUCUGCUGUGUUGAAAGACUGUAUCAGAUACCCUCUUUGAACAUUUUUCAGUUUUAAACAUCAACUGGUAUCACUGAGGAAUGUGAAUUCCAA